GAACGCUGGCGGCAGGCCUAACACAUGCAAGUCGAACGCUUCAGCAAUGAAGAGUGGCAGACGGGUGAGUAACGCGUGGGAACCUUCCCAGUGGUACGGAAUAGCCCAGGGAAACUUGGGGUAAUACCGUAUAAGCCCUUAGGGGGAAAGAUUUAUCGCCAUUGGAUGGGCCCGCGUCGGAUUAGCUUGUUGGUGAGGUAAAAGCUCACCAAGGCGACGAUCCAUAGCUGGUCUGAGAGGAUGAUCAGCCACACUGGGACUGAGACACGGCCCAGACUCCUACGGGAGGCAGCAGUGGGGAAUAUUGGACAAUGGGCGCAAGCCUGAUCCAGCCAUGCCGCGUGAGUGACGAAGGCCUUAGGGUUGUAAAGCUCUUUUGGCGGGGACGAUAAUGACAGUACCCGCAGAAUAAGCUCCGGCUAACUUCGUGCCAGCAGCCGCGGUAAUACGAAGGGAGCUAGCGUUGUUCGGAAUUACUGGGCGUAAAGCGCACGUAGGCGGACUUGUUAGUCAGGGGUGAAAUCCCGGGGCCCAACCUCGGAACUGCCUUUGAUACUGCAAGUCUGGAGUCCGGAAGAGGUGGGUGGAAUUCCUAGUGUAGAGGUGAAAUUCGUAGAUAUUAGGAGGAACACCGGUGGCGAAGGCGGCCCACUGGUCCGGUACUGACGCUGAGGUGCGAAAGCGUGGGGAGCAAACAGGAUUAGGUACCCUGGUAGUCCACGCCGUAAACGAUGGAUGCUAGCUGUCGGCAAGCUUGCUUGUCGGUGGCGCAGCUAACGC
This 780-nucleotide ribosomal RNA is filed under the name uncultured Alphaproteobacteria bacterium. RNAcentral's name for it is "bacterial SSU rRNA". It matches the Rfam family "Bacterial small subunit ribosomal RNA", at positions 31 to 858 of the family's 1533-position model. The record is from RNAcentral. Lineage: Bacteria; Pseudomonadati; Pseudomonadota; Alphaproteobacteria.